AAGACCUUGAGGGCAUUGUAUAUCCAAGUCUUGUCAGAAUGUCAUCCAAAGGCAGUUUGCAAUGCCACACUCUCCAUGAGAAGAAAGAUAUCUUGAUUGGCAACCCCUGAGUCCAUAUGUAUUUGUAAGCAUCAAGCUGAGGUCCCUUUUCUCUAACUAAAUGCCAAGCUGAAUGAACAGUAUAGUGUCUUGCUGAGUUCUGCAUCCCAAAAGCCCUGUCCUUCUCUGCAUAAUUCAUCACCAAAGGCAGCUGCUGCACCACAUGAUCAGCAAUAUCUUUUGUUGGCCCAGUCAAGAGUUGCAUGUGGUCGGUCAACCAUCCUCCUUGGGAUUGGCCCGAAGUAGGUGAAAGACGGUCUCGCGCUGAUUGUUCCGCCUGAACGGAGUGUCAGCGGUUCUGAAGAAGAAAAGGAAGAGAUAAGUUACUCCUACUAGAAAGGGACCUAGAAAAAUUAAUACGCUAUUACCUUCUUAGGCAAAGACAGAUUUCCAAGAGUAGAGAGCAUGAUUUACGGCUACAACCUUAGAUAAUGAUAAUCUGAGGAGUCUAUCUUAUGCUAUCGGAUUCUCUAACCCUGCUUACUUACCUUCUAGCCUACGAAAAAGACCUGCUUAUCGAACUGAACUUCAAUGAGACUACGCACUUGUGGCACACACGCUAUAUCAUCUCUUCAUCCCGUAAAAAGGAAAUGAGCCCAUUGAUUCACCUAUCCCAACAGCAGAAUUAUUGUGAGGAAAGCCCAGGAGAGAUCUUAGCCUGUAGGGUUAUUCUUACCCUUGGCCUUCUUCUCCUCGUUUUCAUUGGGUCACUGCACUAAAGCUAAGGAUUUAUUUUCUUAGUUACAUGAGUUCGAUCCCUUUCUUGUCCUCUUCAAUCUUUGAAAGCUCAGCCAAUCCGAGAGUUUGUUUAAGAGUCUUUCUAUGGGAAUAAAGAGAGGGUACUGAUCACUAG
RNAcentral lists this long non-coding RNA (952 nucleotides) under Nicotiana benthamiana. RNAcentral describes it as "long non-coding RNA (NBEN_LNC040271)". The record is from RNAcentral. Lineage: Eukaryota; Viridiplantae; Streptophyta; Magnoliopsida; Solanales; Solanaceae.